GCUGAUGUAGCUCAGCUGGUAGAGCAACGGUUUCGUAAACCGUAGGUCAGGGGUUCGAGUCCCCUCAUCAGCU
This 73-nucleotide transfer RNA is filed under the name Candidatus Melainabacteria bacterium HGW-Melainabacteria-1. RNAcentral describes it as "tRNA-Thr". It matches the Rfam family "tRNA". Rfam says of the family: Transfer RNA (tRNA) molecules are approximately 80 nucleotides in length. Their secondary structure includes four short double-helical elements and three loops (D, anti-codon, and T loops). The record is from RNAcentral. Lineage: Bacteria; Bacillati; Candidatus Melainabacteria.